UAAACCAAUAAAUCCAAAUCGGACAAUACGUGCAAAUAUUGAAAACUAACAAAAAGCAAAGACAACUAAAAUGGCAAAUCCUACCACAGCUAUCAGAUAUUCACUUGAAUCAAAUGAUCGGGCAAAUCAAAGAAUUGCCAUAUUUUGAUGGAAACCCAGCGGAGCUAAGUCGGUACAUUGCCAGGGUUGAGUACCUUCUACAACUAUACCCUACUCAAGAUGACAGACAAACUCACAUCAUAUAUGGAGCCAUCGAAAGGACCAUUGUCGACUCAGCGCAAGCAGUCAUCGAAGAAGGAAAAUCUAACGCUUGGUUAACUACAAAGGCAACUCUAAUCAUGGUCUUCAAAGACCACAGGCCUCACGAAGACAUCAUCCAGCACAUCCGGGACACCCCAUACCAAGGAAGCAUCAAAUGAAUUUACUGAUGCUGAUGUUAUAUGGACCAUCUUUAAAACCUUAGAAUACUUUUCUGGUUCACUACACGACUGCGACUGCGAAUGUGGACCUCCUAAUUUAUCAUGGCUUACAAGCUAAACACAGAAACUUUUUAUUAUAUUUAAGACCGUUAACGUCGCGAAUAAAAAAUAGUUAAAAAAAUGA
Long non-coding RNA from Drosophila biarmipes, 603 nucleotides. RefSeq lists it as uncharacterized. The transcript has 2 exons. The record is from RefSeq and is a predicted model, not a curated record. Lineage: Eukaryota; Metazoa; Arthropoda; Insecta; Diptera; Drosophilidae.